RNAcentral lists this ribosomal RNA (326 nucleotides) under uncultured Pseudomonadota bacterium. RNAcentral's name for it is "bacterial SSU rRNA". It matches the Rfam family "Bacterial small subunit ribosomal RNA", at positions 29 to 351 of the family's 1533-position model. Lineage: Bacteria; Pseudomonadati; Pseudomonadota. The record is from RNAcentral.
AACGAACGCUGGCGGCGUGCUUAACACAUGCAAGUCGAACGCGAAAGGUUCUUUCGGGAACUGAGUAGAGUGGCGCACGGGUGAGUAACGCGUAAGUAAUCUACCCUGGUAUCUGGAAUAACUCAUCGAAAGGUGUGCUAAUACCGGAUACGCUGAGAAAUCAGGAAAGGAGGCCUCUCUUUGAUGCUUCUGUACUGGGAUGAGCUUGCGUACCAUUAGCUAGUUGGUAGGGUAAUGGCCUACCAAGGCAACGAUGGUUAGCGGGUCUGAGAGGAUGAUCCGCCACACUGGAACUGAAACACGGACCAGACUCCUACGGGAGGCUG